UGGCUCUCGCAUCGAUGAAGAACGCAGCAAAGCGCGAAAUGUAAUGUGAAUUGCAGAAUUCAGUGAAUCAUCGAAUCUUUGAACGCACCUUGCGCUUUUGGGCUACUCCCGAAAGCAUGCUUGUUUGAGUGUCGCGUACCUCUCAACCCCGCUUACUCUGUAAGCAGCAGGGUUGGAUCAUGGCGCCCUUGUCGUUGACUCGACUGCGCUGAAAUGCAGCAAGCUGGAUCCACGCUAUGCGGCUUGACCCGUUGUCAUAAGCUUUACACCUUUCAAUGGGGAUCGCUAGCAGGAAUGAGCUUACCAUAAAUUGAAUCUUUUAUACAUUGACCUCAAAUCAAGUAGGACUACCCGCUGA
RNAcentral lists this unclassified non-coding RNA (358 nucleotides) under uncultured fungus. RNAcentral's name for it is "partial contains 5.8S ribosomal RNA and internal transcribed spacer 2". The stretch from base 1 to 134 matches the Rfam family "5.8S ribosomal RNA", at positions 22 to 154 of the family's 154-position model. The record is from RNAcentral. Lineage: Eukaryota; Fungi.